This 170-nucleotide ribosomal RNA is filed under the name uncultured bacterium. Its description in RNAcentral is "partial 16S ribosomal RNA". It matches the Rfam family "Bacterial small subunit ribosomal RNA", at positions 338 to 525 of the family's 1533-position model. The record is from RNAcentral.
CCUACGGGAGGCAGCAGUGGGGAAUCUUGCGCAAUGGGCGAAAGCCUGACGCAGCCAUGCCGCGUGUAUGAUGAAGGUCUUAGGAUUGUAAAAUACUUUCACCGGGGAAGAUAAUGACGGUACCCGGAGAAGAAGCCCCGGCUAACUUCGUGCCAGCAGCCGCGGUAAUA